This 259-nucleotide long non-coding RNA is filed under the name Triticum aestivum (bread wheat). RNAcentral's name for it is "long non-coding RNA (TAES_LNC002913)". Lineage: Eukaryota; Viridiplantae; Streptophyta; Magnoliopsida; Poales; Poaceae. The record is from RNAcentral.
CGAAUAUGUAGCUGCGAAAACAUCACUUUCUCAAUUACAGGAAGCUAUGAUACAUUAGUUGUAGGGCAGCAAAACUGAGACAAUCAAGUUGCUUCACAGAAAUUCACAACUGAAACAUAGAUAGCAUCACGAGCAAUCAGAUUGCCAUAGUUCUGCGGCUAAAAUCAUGAUUUCUUGAGCUACAAUCAUGCUUUGAAAAGGCAUUACCACGAAUGAGUACUCACUAAUGUGUAUCAGGGCACAAUGUUCCAUGCUAGCU